This 1994-nucleotide ribosomal RNA is filed under the name Mesorhizobium sp. RNAcentral's name for it is "partial 23S ribosomal RNA". It matches the Rfam family "Bacterial large subunit ribosomal RNA", at positions 1 to 1977 of the family's 2925-position model. The record is from RNAcentral. Lineage: Bacteria; Pseudomonadati; Pseudomonadota; Alphaproteobacteria; Hyphomicrobiales; Phyllobacteriaceae.
GAUCAAGUGUCUUAAGGGCAAUUGGUGGAUGCCUUGGCAUGCACAGGCGAUGAAGGACGUGAUACGCUGCGAUAAGCUACGGGGAGGUGCGAAUACCCUUUGAUCCGUAGAUCUCCGAAUGGGGAAACCCACCUAAGGUACUUGGAAAAUCAGAGCAGCAGGGCAACUGACGCGACAAUCCCAAAAGGAUUGAGCGUGGGGCGACGAUCUCUUUGGGAUCGCGCUGCUUUUGCUGCUGUGGUUUCCAAGUAUCGAUAAUAGGUAACUUAUCCUGAAUACAUAGGGAUAAAGUGGCGAACGCGGGGAACUGAAACAUCUAAGUACCCGUAGGAAAGGACAUCAACCGAGACUCCGGAAGUAGUGGCGAGCGAACCCGGACCAGGCCAGCGGCGAUUGAGAGACAAGCGGAACCUUCUGGAAAGUUGGGCCAUAGCGGGUGACAGCCCCGUACGCGUAAUGCGAUCAAUCGUCCUUGAGUAAGGCGGGACACGUGAAAUCCUGUCUGAAAUUGGGAGGACCACCUUCCAAGCCUAAGUACUCGUGCAUGACCGAUAGCGAACUAGUACCGUGAGGGAAAGGUGAAAAGCACCCCGACAAGGGGAGUGAAAGAGUACCUGAAACCGAUUGCCUACAAACAGUGGGAGCCCGUCCUUCAAAUCGCUUGACGAUUUGAAGAACUUUUGAUUUUGCCAUCAAGAGCGCAAGCGCUUUGAUGGGCGGGUGACCACGUACCUUUUGUAUAAUGGGUCAGCGACUUAGUGUGACGAGCAAGCUUAAACCGAUAGGUGUAGGCGCAGCGAAAGCGAGUCUGAACAGGGCGUUCAGUUCGUCGCAUUAGACCCGAAACCGAGUGAUCUAGCCAUGAGCAGGCUGAAGGUAAGGUAACACUUACUGGAGGGCCGAACCCAUAACUGUUGCAAUAGUUCGGGAUGACUUGUGGCUAGGGGUGAAAGGCCAAUCAAACUCGGAAAUAGCUGGUUCUCCGCGAAAUCUAUUUAGGUAGAGCGUCGACCGAAUACCCCAGGGGGUAGAGCACUGGAUGGGCUAGGGGUCCUCACCGGAUUACCAAACCUAACCAAACUCCGAAUACCUGGGAGUACUAGUCGGCAGACACACGGCGGGUGCUAACGUCCGUCGUGAAAAGGGAAACAACCCUGACCUACAGCUAAGGUCCCCAAGUUAUGGCUAAGUGGGAAAGGAUGUGAGGAUCCCAAAACAACCAGGAUGUUGGCUUAGAAGCAGCCAUCAUUUAAAGAAAGCGUAACAGCUCACUGGUCUAAAUAAGGGUCUUUGCGCCGAAAAUGUAACGGGGCUAAAGCCAUACACCGAAGCUUAGGGUUCGUGAGCAAUCACGAGCGGUAGCGGAGCGUUCUGUAAGCCAGUGAAGCCGUACCCGUGAGGGGCGGUGGAGGUAUCAGAAGUGCGAAUGCUGACAUGAGUAACGUAAGGGGAGUGAGAGACUCCCCCGCCGAAAGACCAAGGGUUCCUGCUUAAAGUUAAUCUGAGCAGGGUUAGCCGGCCCCUAAGACGAGGCGGAAACGCGUAGUCGAUGGGAAUCACGUUAAUAUUCGUGAGCCUGGAGGUAGUGACGGAUCACACAAGUUGUCCAAUCUUAUCGGAUUGAAAGGGCAGCGGAGUGGUUCCAGGAAAUAGCUCCUCCUUAUAGACCGUACCCGAAACCGACACUGGUGGUCUGGUAGAGUAUACCAAGGCGCUUGAGAGAACUAUGCUGAAGGAACUCGGCAAAUUGCACGCGUAACUUCGGAAGAAGCGUGACCCUUUUUUGCGCAAGCAGAGGAGGGUGGCACAGACCAGGGGGUAGCGACUGUUUAUCAAAAACACAGGGCUCUGCGAAGUCGCAAGACGACGUAUAGGGUCUGACGCCUGCCCGGUGCUGGAAGGUUAAGAGGAGGGGUGCAAGCUCUGAAUCGAAGCCCCAGUAAACGGCGGCCGUAACUAUAACGGUCCUAAGGUAGCGAAAUUCCUUGUCGGGU